UAAAAUAGAUUUAGAUAUUUUGGUCCUUACAUAUGCUUUGUUAUUUGAGGACUAAGCAUUAACCACCUUCCACAGUUUCCAGUCCAGGACAUGUACAGUAGUUAUUUGUUGAGUUACUAGAAACUAUUUACGCUUUCAAUUUAUUCUCGGUUAUGUUUUUAUGGGUGCGGACAAGAAUUGACAGAGCAAACAUUAAUGAUCACUUAUUUUGAUAUGCCUAAAGCAUGAACAGCUAUACUGCUAUUAUGGAAAUAUUCAUUCAUUAAUUUGUUGUGUCAAAGAAACCAUUGUAUCCAUCAUUUUUGUGUUGGUGUUGAGGGCAGACUAUUCAAAGUGUUCCCAGCUUAUUAUGCCAUGUAGAUGUUCCAUGUGAACUAUUUUUUGCAAAAUCUUCCAUCAUAAAUGUUACUGUAUUUCUGAAGGUCGGUGCUGAUACCCAAUAAGAUCCUCCUAGAUCUGCCCUCGAUCUAUUGCUCAGUGGAUAUGAUGGGCAACCUUCAGUUUCAGGGAGAGUACAUUUUUCGCAUACUGCUAUUGCUUAUGAAAAGUAAUCUCCCACUGCACCUAGCUUACAUCGGAUUGUUGGAUAUGUACAAUGUAUCCAUAAUCCUCAUGGAUGUAAAUUUUGUUAUGUAAUUCCAUCUCCCAUCAUGCAUCCAUUGUUUCACAUAUUAGAUGAAAAAUCUGCCAUAGACUCACUAUGCGAGAACAAAUCUGAAGCCUAUGGAAUAUUGAAUGUUUAAGAGGGAUUUAUCGUUUUACUUUUCUUGACACAUUAAUCCUACGGAUCUGGCUUCUAAUUAUUGUGAAAUAUGGCUUUAACAUUUCAAACAACUUUUCUACAUGCAUCAUGUAGUUAUUUGUUCCGACUAAACAACAUAUGGCCAAAUAAUAUUUACUAUGGCUAUGCCAACCAGAUUGUUUACAAAAAUAUUCAUCAAGGCUCCCUUUAUAUGUUUGUUUCUACACCUUCCUUGGCUGCGUAAUAUCUUUCUGGUAUAGAAAAAUAUUGAGUGAGAUACAAAACACCUUUCCUGAUGUAUGAAACACAAUUUUUUCUUCCUAAUUCAUCUCACAAUUCUACCUUCAACCUACAGGUAAAUCUAUGCAUUCUUUCUACUUAUGUAAUCUUCAUGAACUCUAUUAUUUACGUGGAACUGCUAAAAUUAAGUCGAUCAUGACCUGCUGCGAGGCGGAAUAAAAUUCAUCAUGGAGCAGAUUAUAGAGAUAAACUAAUAUUUUGUUCAUAUGUAGAAUAAUUUGGAUGAUUUAUCAUUUAUGUGGCAAUUGUCCAUAUGUUUAGUCAUGACUCCUCAUUACCUGCUAUUUAAUCUUAUUGAUUAUUUUGGGCUACUACUUUCUAUCAAGCCGAAACCUAUCAUUUGAUAAGAAACAUAUGACCUGCUCACUACUUGCUUCCUAUCAUUUGACUCUUGAGUCCAAUGCAUUUAGGCUUGAGAACACUUGCGAACACAUGAUUGUCAUAUUCGUAGAGAUUCUCAUACUUAUUGUUCACGUGCAGAAUUGUGGGAAUGAAGUGAAUAUGGUACAUACUGUGUAUUAUGAUUUACUUUGCAGUUUUAAGUAAGUAUUAGUCCGUUGAUAUCAUCGCACCAAUUAUAUAUUACCAACUGCCGAAGGUCAGAUGGGUUCAUCAAACCAGUAACACAUGUACAUGUUUAUCAAACGUACUAAUUGCAUAUAAAUCCAUAUUUCCAUUCUUUAAAUUUAUAAAUUAGACUAUCUUUAUCCUAUGAUUUUAUUCAGCUUUUUUCGCAGGUGAAGGCAUUGCUUUGAUUAAUCUUUCUUGGGACACGAGAGUAAGCACCGAUUGCAUCUUUGAUUUUGUAAAAUGUGAUCAUAUGAUACCCGCAAAACUACAAUUCAUAUCUAAAUACUAUUUAAUAAUACAUAUUGCCAUCUAUAUUUGUAUAUCAGUUUACAAGUUUGGUUUUGCAAGUUACGGUUUGAAAAGACUGCAAUUAUCAUGAAAAUGUUUCUCUUACAUCCUUUUCAUGCAUGUUAUGUUCUAUGAUGAAAAGCGGCACAAAAGUUACGUGUUCUGGAGAUUUUAUAUAUUAGGGAGUAUAAUAUAAAUGUAUAAUAGUGCACAUUAUCCAAUUACAAGAGAAAUAAAAAAGCUGUAAGUUUGGUGUUGCACAUUUGUCAUGAUUCGUUAAUAAUGUGUCUGAAUUUAGUUGGCAACCAUUCUUUUCUCAGGCCAAUUCUUGAUGCCUCCAUUUUAUUCCAUGAAAAUAUUCUAAGAUUGGCCUCCUUGGUUAUGAUGCAAAUCCGAAUGUAUAUUCUAAAAUUGACAAGAACGAUAAAGCCAACGGAAACGAUUUAAAAUGUCCCUAUAUUUUUGGCUCCUCUUAUAGGAGAUCAUAGUGCAUAUAAACAAUACAUACACACAAGCUUCCCCUCGGUCAUGAUCCAAAUCUCAAUAUAAUACAAGAUACCAUAUCAUAUGUUUAUAGAUCCACAUAACCAUGUAUCGUAUGGUUUCCUGCCGUAAGGUGUAUAUAUAUAUAAUUGAUUUUGCACAAUAGCUAAGUAGAUAUACAACUAGCCCGUGCGGAUGCACGGGUUGACGACUAGUAUUUAUAAUAUUAGAAGGCCAAUCAUACUCAAAUAUUAUUUAUUUUUACUACUACGAUUUACAGAAGUGCCCUAUUUUCUGUUAAUAGGUUAAUGUAAUAAUAAAUUAUUUGAAUUAUUUAU
Molecule: long non-coding RNA, 2721 nt
Filed under: Hordeum vulgare
Lineage: Eukaryota; Viridiplantae; Streptophyta; Magnoliopsida; Poales; Poaceae
Description: long non-coding RNA (HVUL_LNC008231)
Source: RNAcentral